GAGUUAAGGGAUGAAGUUUUUGAGAUCAGGUUUCAAAUAAAAAAGAUAAAAAAAAAUUAAAAAUUAAAAUUUUCAAAAUAAAAGGUAUAUUCUGGUCAUUUUCUUCUUUGAGUGCUAUUUUUGUGACAAAAACUUAAAAAAAAAACUAUUUGAGAGAAUUGACUGAUAUUUUAUUAAUUUAUAGAGUUAUUAGUUUAUAAAUUUUUCCUUUUUAAAAUUUUUAUAUUUUAGU
Molecule: long non-coding RNA, 232 nt
Filed under: Brassica rapa (field mustard)
Lineage: Eukaryota; Viridiplantae; Streptophyta; Magnoliopsida; Brassicales; Brassicaceae
Description: long non-coding RNA (BRAP_LNC001793)
Source: RNAcentral